This 506-nucleotide ribosomal RNA is filed under the name uncultured bacterium. RNAcentral describes it as "partial 16S ribosomal RNA". It matches the Rfam family "Bacterial small subunit ribosomal RNA", at positions 29 to 523 of the family's 1533-position model. The record is from RNAcentral.
AGUGAACGCUGGCGGUAGGCCUAACACAUGCAAGUCGAACGGCAGCACAGAGGAGCUUGCUCCUUGGGUGGCGAGUGGCGGACGGGUGAGGAAUACAUCGGAAUCUACUCUGUCGUGGGGGAUAACGUAGGGAAACUUACGCUAAUACCGCAUACGACCUACGGGUGAAAGCAGGGGACCUUCGGGCCUUGCGCGAUUGAAUGAGCCGAUGUCGGAUUAGCUAGUUGGCGGGGUAAAGGACCACCAAGGCGAUGAUGCGUAGCUGGUCUGCGAGAAUGAUCAGCCACACUGGAACUGAGAAAAGGUCCAGACUCCUACGGGAGGCAGCAGUGGGGAAUAUUGGACAAUGGGCGCAAGCCUGAUCCAGCCAUACCGCGUGGGUGAAGAAGGCCUUCGGGUUGUAAAGCCCUUUUGUUGGGAAAGAAAUCCAGCUGGCUAAUACCCGGUUGGGAUGACGGUACCCAAAGAAUAAGCACCGGCUAACUUCGUGCCAGCCGCCGCAGUAA